UUCGAUUGUGCCAGCAGCCGCGGUAAUACGUAGGUGGCAAGCGUUAUCCGGAAUUAUUGGGCGUAAAGCGCGCGCAGGCGGUUUCUUAAGUCUGAUGUGAAAGCCCUCGGCUUAACCGAGGAGGGUCAUUGGAAACUGGGAGACUUGAGUGCAGAAGAGGAAAGUGGAAUUCCAAGUGUAGCGGUGAAAUGCGUAGAGAUUUGGAGGAACACCAGUGGCGAAGGCGACUUUCUGGUCUGUAACUGACGCUGAGGCGCGAAAGCGUGGGGAGCAAACAGGAUUAGAUACCCUGGUAGUCCACGCCGUAAACGAUGAGUGCUAAGUGUUAGGGGGUUUCCGCCCCUUAGUGCUGCAGCUAACGCAUUAAGCACUCCGCCUGGGGAGUACGGUC
Molecule: ribosomal RNA, 391 nt
Filed under: uncultured bacterium
Lineage: Bacteria
Description: bacterial SSU rRNA
Rfam family: Bacterial small subunit ribosomal RNA
Source: RNAcentral